This is a long non-coding RNA of Cyprinodon variegatus (sheepshead minnow), 483 nucleotides long. RefSeq lists it as uncharacterized. The record is from RefSeq and is a predicted model, not a curated record. The transcript has 3 exons. NCBI's taxonomy places the organism in Eukaryota, Metazoa, Chordata, Actinopteri, Cyprinodontiformes, Cyprinodontidae.
UCUUGUUUUGCGCUGAGGGUGUGGAAAUUGGUGUUGGGUCACCUACUUCUAUUUUAAUUUUACGCUGCGGCAAUAGAAGGGACGGCGUAGACCAGCUUUGGGUUCCCAAAACGCCAGCCACCGACAGGCUGAUGCCGUUAUUAAGUGGACUCUGAGGCUCUGAUCCCGCUUCUUCUAGGGAGCCUGCUGUUUGUGAGUCACAGUGAGCACAGGAAAAAAAGCUCCUCCAUAGAUGUCGCUUGACGUGCAUGAGAAGAGAGGAGACGGAUGUUGCAGCCCAUGACAGGACAACGGCUACAAGAAGCGGAGCAGCUACUAGAGAGGAUGCGUACCACAAAAAUAUGUGUGGGAGGUGAAAAACAAAAUGCAAAGAUGCUGUGAUGGAUGAAUAAACCAGCAGGAUAUCUUCAUUCUCUUUAAAUGCACUCCAGACAACUCCUCAGUAUCAGGUAAGGACUUCAUUUAAGCACAUGUAAAUACCAG